GGAUUCUAACAUCUUGGAUAAGUCCAAUGACCUGAAGCAGCUGAGAGAGCAGAUUCGCAAGCUGGAUGAACGAGUGGAUUUGGACAUGCAGGAGCAGACCAGAGAGGAACAGCACUGGGCAGAAGAGAUGGAGUCAGUGGAGAACCAUCAUAAGGUUCUUGAGAAGAAGGUUAAUUAUGGUUACGACGAGGCUAUGCAACCCCUUUACCUUUGUUUGUGGCUACUUUGCACAACAUCAGUGACUUGACUGUGGUUGGUCUUCAUUUCAGAGUUGUGUUAUAUUGAAGCCACUAGGGGGCAGCACACACCUCUGGCUGCUAACGUUCAGUGGCCUUUUUGUUAUAUUCUAUUUCAUACAUUCAUUCAGUUUUUUUUUGUUUGGUCAACUGAAGUAGUGACAUUGCUUGUGUCUCAGUGUAGGAUAGACUUACAGAAUAACUGUAUUAACAACCUCCACAGUCUCUCAGCUCCUGAAAUCAUCUGAAAUGACUGACCUUUUUUUUUUUUCCUACAUGUUCUCACUUUUCCAAACACACAUUUAAGUUUAGUCAGAAACAACAUGUUGAUUCAGUGUAUGAGAUGAAAUGUGUUUCAGACAUAUUCAUGCUUCUUUGGUAGCAUUUGUAUUCUACAAACCCAAUAAGCUGUGAAUGUAUGACUUCAGAUAUUGGUGCGGACCAGCACUGGUAGUUAAAAAAGAAAUGGCAGGCAUUGUUUCCAUUUGUGUCAGUCUCAUUUAUCCUGUUUUUUCCAUGCACAUUAGAGCAUUGAAGUUCCACAUAUAAGCCAAAGCCCAAUAAAACCGACUGGCUCAUUAGCAAAU
This is a long non-coding RNA of Micropterus salmoides (largemouth bass), 823 nucleotides long. RefSeq lists it as uncharacterized. Lineage: Eukaryota; Metazoa; Chordata; Actinopteri; Centrarchiformes; Centrarchidae. The record is from RefSeq and is a predicted model, not a curated record. The transcript is spliced from 2 exons.